CGUAUAAUUAUCUUAUUAAUAGCUUUUUGUACACUUUUUAUAACAUAUAAUUAUGUUUUUAAAUAAUUUUUCAGAAGUGUUUCUUAGAAAAGUGGAACUAUGAAUAAUAGUAAUAUCAAAUUUCAUUAAACGAAAACAAAAAUAUUCUCUCAAUCAACCGCCGAAAUACCGAUAUCGAGAGAAAAUAAUUAAACGAUUCUUUUUCAGCACUUAUUUUGUAUUUUAGAGGGCGUCGCAUUUG
Molecule: non-coding RNA, 241 nt
Organism: Cinara cedri
Lineage: Eukaryota; Metazoa; Arthropoda; Insecta; Hemiptera; Aphididae
Source: the annotation of a GenBank genome assembly